Molecule: microRNA precursor, 68 nt
Organism: Bos indicus x Bos taurus (hybrid cattle)
Lineage: Eukaryota; Metazoa; Chordata; Mammalia; Artiodactyla; Bovidae
Source: Ensembl
UUCAGGUCAUAUAAGUGUGGAGUUGGCUAGACUACUGGUAAUGACACCCCCACUUGCAUGACCCUGAG